Molecule: ribosomal RNA, 309 nt
Filed under: uncultured bacterium
Lineage: Bacteria
Description: bacterial SSU rRNA
Rfam family: Bacterial small subunit ribosomal RNA
Source: RNAcentral
GAUGAACGCUAGCGGGAGGCUUAAUACAUGCAAGUCGAGGGGUAACAUGAGAGCUUGCUCUUGAUGACGACCGGCGCACGGGUGAGUAACGCGUACACAAUCUACCUUCAACAGGGGAAUAGCCUCGGGAAACUGAGAUUAAUACCCCAUGGUUCCUAAGAACGGCAUCGUUCUAAGGAUAAAGUUCCGGCGGUUGAAGAUGAGUGUGCGUCCUAUUAGCUUGUUGGUAAGGUAACGGCUUACCAAGGCGACGAUAGGUAGGGGGCGUGAGAGCGUGACCCCCCACACGGGUACUGAGACACGGACCCG